This 865-nucleotide ribosomal RNA is filed under the name uncultured bacterium. Its description in RNAcentral is "bacterial SSU rRNA". It matches the Rfam family "Bacterial small subunit ribosomal RNA", at positions 1 to 880 of the family's 1533-position model. The record is from RNAcentral.
AAUUCGAUUAGUUUGAUCAUGGCUCAGAAUCAACGCUGGCGGCGUGCCUCAGACAUGCAAGUCGAACGAUUAAACUUUCCUUCGGGAAAGAUAUAAAGUGGCGCACGGGUGAGUAACACGUAGGUAAUGUACCUUUGGGUGGGGAAUAACAGUCGGAAACGACUGCUAAUACCGCAUAAUGCAGCGGCUCCUUAUGGAGACAGUUGUUAAAGAUUUAUCGCCUAAAGAGCAGCCUGCGGCAGAUUAGCUAGUUGGUAAGGUAAUGGCUUACCAAGGCUACGAUCUGUAGCCGACCUGAGAGGGUGGUCGGUCACACUGACACUGAAUAACGGGUCAGACUCCUACGGGAGGCAGCAGUCGGGAAUUUUGGGCAAUGGGCGAAAGCCUGACCCAGCAACGCCGCGUGAAGGAUGAAGUCUUUCGGGAUGUAAACUUCGUAAAAAUAGGAAGAAUAAAUGACGGUACUAUUUGUAAGGUCCGGCUAACUACGUGCCGGCAGCCGCGGUAAUACGUAGGGACCAAGCGUUGUUCGGAUUUACUGGGCGUAAAGGGCGCGUAGGCGGCGUGGCAAGUCACUUGUGAAAUCUCCGGGCUUAACUCGGAACGGUCAAGUGAAACUGUCGUGCUAGAGUACAGAAAGGGUAAUCGGAAUUCUUGGUGUAGCGGUGAAAUGCGUAGAUAUCAAGAGGAACACCAGAGGCGAAGGCGGAUUACUAGGCUGAUACUGACGCUGAGGCGCGAAAGCUAGGGUAGCAAACGGGAUUAGAUACCCCGGUAGUCCUAGCCCUAAACGAUGAAUACUUGGUGUCUGGAGUUUUAAUUCUCUGGGUGCCGUCGCUAACGUUUUAGUAUUCCGCCUGGGGAG